AUACAUGCUAAAAACCUCGACUUCGGAAGGGGUGUAUUUAUUAGAUAAAGAACCAAUGCCCUUCGGGGCUCCUUGGUGAUUCAUAAUAACUUAACGAAUCGCAUGGCCUUGCGCCGGCGAUGGUUCAUUCAAAUUUCUGCCCUAUCAACUUUCGAUGUUAGGGUAUUGGCCUAACAUGGUUUCUACGGGUAACGGGGAAUUAGGGUUCUAUUCCGGAGAGGGAGCCUGAGAAACGGCUACCACAUCCAAGGAAGGCAGCAGGCGCGCAAAUUACCCAAUCCCGACACGGGGAGGUAGUGACAAUAAAUACUGAUGCGGAGCUCAUUAGGGUUUCGCAAUUGGAAUGAGUACAAUCUAAACAUUUUAACGAGGAACAAUUGGAGGGCAAGUCUGGUGCCAGCAGCCGCGGUAAUUCCAGCUCCAAUAGCGUAUAUUAAAGUUGUUGCAGUUAAAAAGCUCGUAGUUGAAACUUGGGCCUGGCUGUCCGGUCCGCCUCACCGCGUGCACUGGUUCGGCCGGGCCUUUCCUUCUGGGGAGCCGCAUGCCCUUUAUUGGGUGUGCCGGGGAACCAGGACUUUUACUUUGAAAAAAUUAGAGUGUUCAAAGCAGGCCUAUGCUCGAAUACAUUAGCAUGGAAUAAUAGAAUAGGACGUGUGGUUCUAUUUUGUUGGUUUCUAGGACCGCCGUAAUGAUUAAUAGGGAUAGUCGGGGCCGUCCGUAUUUUCCAGCAAGAGGUGAAAUUCUUGGAUUUGGAAAAGACGAACUACUGCGAAAGCAUUCGGCAAGGAUGUUUUCAUUAAUCAGGGAACGAAAGUUAGGGGAUCGAAGACGAUCAGAUACCGUCGUAGUCUUAACCAUAAACUAUGCCGACUAGGGAUCGGACGGUGUUAUUAUUUUGACCCGUUCGGCACCUUACGAGAAAUCAAAGUUUUUGGGUUCUGGGGGGAGUAUGGUCGCAAGGCUGAAACUUAAAGACAUUGACGGAAGGGCACCACCAGGCGUGGAGCCUGCGGCUUAAUUUGACUCAACACGGGGAAACUCACCGGGUCCGGAUUUGAUAAGGAUUGACAGAUUGAGAGCUCUUUCUUGAUUUCAAAGUUG
This 1101-nucleotide ribosomal RNA is filed under the name Pyxine subcinerea. RNAcentral's name for it is "SSU rRNA". It matches the Rfam family "Eukaryotic small subunit ribosomal RNA", at positions 167 to 1276 of the family's 1831-position model. Lineage: Eukaryota; Fungi; Ascomycota; Lecanoromycetes; Caliciales; Caliciaceae. The record is from RNAcentral.